RNAcentral lists this long non-coding RNA (234 nucleotides) under Elaeis guineensis (African oil palm). RNAcentral describes it as "long non-coding RNA (EGUI_LNC028314)". Lineage: Eukaryota; Viridiplantae; Streptophyta; Magnoliopsida; Arecales; Arecaceae. The record is from RNAcentral.
CUUGACUUUGACUUGACCUAAUCCUACCUGGCCUGAUCCAAUCUUGAUCCGAUUGUAACUGAAUUAAUCCAUCCCAAUCCUAAGCCGAUUAACCCACCUUUAUCGUAACCUAACCAAUCCCCUCCUGACCUGACCUAACCAUCACCAUAACCUUGACCUGAUGCUCACCUGACUUGACCCACCUCAAUCCGAACCCACACCAAUCCUAACCCAUUUGACCUCUUUCCUGACCCU